GACGAACCGAGCGAACGUUGUUCGGAAUCACUGGGCUUAAAGGGCGCGUAGGCGGGCUGUCAAGUCUGGGGUGAAAUCCCGCGGCUCAACCGUGGAACUGCCUCAGAUACUGACGGUCUCGAGGGAGGUAGGGGCGAGCGGAACUGAUGGUGGAGCGGUGAAAUGCGUUGAUAUCAUCAGGAACUCCGUUGGCGAAGGCGGCUCGCUGGACCUCUUCUGACGCUGAGGCGCGAAAGCCAGGGGAGCAAACGGGA
RNAcentral lists this ribosomal RNA (254 nucleotides) under uncultured prokaryote. RNAcentral describes it as "partial 16S ribosomal RNA". It matches the Rfam family "Bacterial small subunit ribosomal RNA", at positions 524 to 777 of the family's 1533-position model. The record is from RNAcentral.